AAGAUUAUUUAGAUUUAACAUUUAUUCAUGUUAUUUUAGGCUUUGUAAUUGUUUGAUGGCUGGCAAUGAAGAGGACAUCUUUUUGCCUGUUCUUUCUUCAUAACCCUAAACUGCAAGCCCAGGGCACCCCUUUGUGACUCUAAGGAAAGACCACUUGACCAAUAGUCUCAAAAGGUGAGUUGCAAUUGUUGAAUCCUGGUUAUUUAACCUAACCUA
This 216-nucleotide long non-coding RNA is filed under the name Ictidomys tridecemlineatus (thirteen-lined ground squirrel). RNAcentral's name for it is "lncRNA (ENSSTOG00000030111.1)". Lineage: Eukaryota; Metazoa; Chordata; Mammalia; Rodentia; Sciuridae. The record is from RNAcentral.